Molecule: ribosomal RNA, 467 nt
Filed under: uncultured bacterium
Lineage: Bacteria
Description: bacterial SSU rRNA
Rfam family: Bacterial small subunit ribosomal RNA
Source: RNAcentral
AAACCAGACUCCUACGGGAGGCAGCAGUGAUUCCUCUUGGUCAAUUUUCUCGAGCCUGCCCCCGCCAAGUCGCCCUCCCGAUGACGCCACUACGGGUUGUCCCACUCUUUUGUACGGCCGCAAUUGGGUCCCCGCAUGGGCUUCCAGAGAGUACCUGAAGAAAAAGCAUCGGCUAACUCCGUGCCAGCAGCAGCGGUAAUCCGGAGGAUGCGCGCGUUAUCCGGAUUUAUUGGGUUUAAAGGGUGCGUAGGCGGAAUAUCAAGUCAGCGGUAAAAAUUCGGGGCUCAACCCCGUCGUGCCGUUGAAACUGAUGUUCUUGAGUGGGCGAGAAGUAUGCGGAAUGCGUGGUGUAGCGGUGAAAUGCAUAGAUAUCACGCAGAACCCCGAUUGCGAAGGCAGCCUUCCGGCGCCCUACUGACGCUGAGGCACGAAAGUGCGGGGAUCGAACAGGAUUAGAUACCCGUGUA